This 139-nucleotide non-coding RNA is filed under the name Linnemannia elongata AG-77. Lineage: Eukaryota; Fungi; Mortierellomycota; Mortierellomycetes; Mortierellales; Mortierellaceae. The record is from Rfam by way of RNAcentral.
UAACUUGUGCCAGCCAAGCGUUCAAAAUAACGUUGCUUCAGAUCUGUCCAUGACGACACUUUCUAUCAUAUUGAAGCAGAAUUCAGUAUGCGUUAGAAUGGUCACCUAGCUAACGGGAACGUGAGUGGAAGCGGAAAGC